GUCUUCGAUAGCAGCACGAACCGUAUCUGGUGACAGCGAAAACUCAGUUGAAAAUGAUGUGCGUGUUAGAGCAGCUCAUUAUGCUGAACAGAAAAAGGUGAAGACUAAGAUGAAGAAAAUACAGAGCAAGUUACAGGGCAAGUGUGUCAGCAUUGCCAGCUCAGCAGAUUAGUUAAAGAUAGUUGUAAGCAUGAUGUGCAUUGUACUGAAGUUAGUUAGCUCUGAUACCAUGAAAGAAAAUGAAAUAAAGUUGUUUGGUUACUAAGAAAAUGAAUUGACAAUCAAGUGCCGAGAGUGAGUAUAGAGCUUUGGCAUCAGUAAGUGCAGAGCUGACAUGGUUACAAUCCUUAUUUUCUGAGUUGGGAAUAAGUUGCAUAGAAAAGCCAAUCAUAUGGUGUGACAACAUUAGUGCCACUGAACUAGCAAAGAACCCUGUGUAUCAUUCAAGAACAAAGCAUAUCGAAAUUGAUAUGCACUUCAUUAGGAAUAAGGUUCUUGCUGGUGAGUUGAUUAUUCACUAUGUACCAAGUGAAGAACAGAUUGCAGACAUAAUGACCAAGCCUCUCUCAUUUGUAAGGUUCAACUACUUGAGGUCCAAACUCAAUGUCCAUCUCUGUCCUCUGAGUUUGAGGGGGGCUGUUAGAGCAGCUCAUUAUGCUGAACAGAAAAAGGUGAAGACUAAGAUGAAAAAAAUUCAGAGCAAGUUACAGGGCAAGUGUGUCAGCAGUGCCAGCUCAGCUGACAGCUCAGCAGAUUAGUUAAAGAUGGUUGUAAGCAUGAUGUGCAUUGUACUGAAGUUAGUUAGCUUUGAUUACAGUUAGUCUUUGGAUUAGUUAAAUGAUGAUUACCGUGAUUGCAUUGUAUAUAAAUAGGUGAUGCUUUGUAAUCAAUAGUUAAGUAAAAAAAAAUAAGAAUCAAAGUUUGUUAAGGAAAUAUCUCCAGAAUUGUCAAUUCAUUUUCUUAGUAACCAAACAACUUUAUUUCAUUUUC
This 990-nucleotide long non-coding RNA is filed under the name Citrus x clementina. Its description in RNAcentral is "Citrus clementina (C. clementina) long non-coding RNA (CCLE_LNC001634)". Lineage: Eukaryota; Viridiplantae; Streptophyta; Magnoliopsida; Sapindales; Rutaceae. The record is from RNAcentral.